This 976-nucleotide unclassified non-coding RNA is filed under the name Hevea brasiliensis (rubber tree). The record is from RNAcentral. Lineage: Eukaryota; Viridiplantae; Streptophyta; Magnoliopsida; Malpighiales; Euphorbiaceae.
AUGUUCAACUUCACUACAUCAACUGGCUCCUUAAAAACCCAUCCAUGCUGAUGAGUCAUCACUCUACCCAACAGUGUCUCACACUGUUUCAUCACCAUCAUAUUUGUACUGAUUGGAACAGGAGCCUGCUUUGCAGACUUGAACCUUCCAGAACUACUCCUAUUCCACUCACGCACUUUGCCUGUAGGGUUGACUUUCUUCCCUGGCCCAGAGGCCAUCACUGAUGACUUCCUAAAAUUUGCAACCUGAGGCCCAUUUGUCCCAUUGCUACAGCUGAGAAUGUCGCUGGAAGAAGACAUUGCAACAGCAUUUGCUCUCUGCAACUCCACUUUUUUUUGGAGUAUCCUCAACUGUUCAAGUUCAAAUUUCAACCGACGUAUUAAAUCCUUUCUUUCAGAUGGUGACAUGCCUGAUAGAGAAAGGACUUGUAGAGGAACACCAAAAGUGUCCUGUUUAUUGGAAUUUAAGUUAAUGCAUUUCCUUGUCGGAGCACUUGAAUCCUCAGAUGCAGUAAUCUCUGUAUCAAUCCGUCCUGAGCUACCAGAAUCCUCCAAAUCACCCACUGUGUCAAAUGAAUUUCGAUGAAAUCCUCCAUGGAAUUUAUCAUUCUUCGCCAUCAUAUUAAUUCCAGCACUUAUCUAGUUCCUUCUAUUCGCUGGGGCAAAUCAGUUCACUUAAUACCCAACUCUGCAUAAACAAACCAUGGGAAUGACAUUACCUCCUCAUACUUUCAAAUAGUCUUAUCUAGCUGUGUGGGUUGAACAACACAUGAAGGCUCCACUGAGUUUGGAACAAAGCAUUUCACCAUUCAAGCCCCCUUUAACUAGAUUACUAUAACAAAUUCCUACUUCCACAAAGAGCACUAGGGGAAAAAAGGUUCUAUCUAACAUAUAAAACAUAUCAAAAUUUAAACGUAAAAGCCAAAUCUCUCGAAUAAUUGAACCCCCCCCUAAUGAAAAAAUAAAAGAAAAAAUAG